RNAcentral lists this long non-coding RNA (1398 nucleotides) under Pan troglodytes (chimpanzee). RNAcentral's name for it is "long non-coding RNA NONPTRT000546". The stretch from base 1 to 289 matches the Rfam family "Metazoan signal recognition particle RNA". Lineage: Eukaryota; Metazoa; Chordata; Mammalia; Primates; Hominidae. The record is from RNAcentral.
GGACAAGUGCCUGUAGCCCGAGCUACUCAGAAGGCUGAGGCAUGUGGAUCACUUGAGCCCAGGAGUUCUGGGCUGUAGUGUGCUAUGCUGAUUGGGUGUCUGCACUAAAUUCAGCAUCAAUAUAGUAACCUCCCAGGAGCUGGGGACUACCAGGUUGCCUAAAGAGGGGUGAACCAGCCCAGGUUGGAAAUGGAGCAGGUCAAACUCCUGGGCUGAUCGGUAGUGGGUUCAGGCCUGUGAAGAGCCACUGCACUCUAGCUUGGGCAACACAGUGAGACCCCCAUCUCUAAAAUAAUUUUUUUUUAUGAGGACAGAAAACUUGGAAGUUAUGGGACAACCAUUUUGGCCAUGUGCACACCAAAACAAGGAAAGCUGGUCUUCAGAGAGUCAAAAGUCAAACAAAUGCAGACAGAAGAAAGGAAUGAAAAACAUGGCUGUAAGCCCCAGCUGCACUUGAUUUCCAUCUAAGCACUCUUCCCUCAGGUUCUGUGACAACCCCACUGCAAACUUGGCCUCUGACCUGUGGCAAGAUGACUUUCUUCAGCUGCUCCUGAGUGAAGUGCUCCACGUAGGCCUCGAUGUGAGACAGCAGCACCAUCCGCACAUGCUCUUCAUGAACUUCAAACAACUGGAGAAGCACGGGGAUCACCCGUGACUGGAACAGGGCUGGUGAGACGUGCCUUUUGCCUUCUGCUAUGAUUUUAAGGAACUCCCCAGCCACGUGGAACUUUUGUAAAUUGCCCAGUCUUGGGUAUGUCUUCAUCAGCAGCGUGAACACAGAGUAAUACAGUAAAUUGGUACCAGUAGAGUGGGGAGUUGCUGAAAAGAUACCCGAAAAUGUGGAUGGGACUUUGGAACUGGGUAACUGGCAAAGGCUGGAACAGUUUGGAGGGUUCAGAAGAAGACAGGAAAAUGUGGGAAAGUUUGGAAUUUCCUAGAGACUUGUUGAAUGGCUUUGACAAAAAUGCUGCUAGUGAUAUGAACAAUAAGGUCCAGGCUGAGGUGGUCUCAGAUGGAGAUGAGGAACUUGUUGGGAACUGGGGCAAAGGUGAUUCUUCUUAUGUUUUAGCAGAGACUGGUGGCAUUUUGCCCCUGCCCUAAAGAACUGUGGAACUUUGAACUUAAAAGAGGAUUUAGGGUAUCUGGCGGAAGAAAUUUCUAAGCAGCAGAGCAUUCAAGAGGUGACUUGGGUGCUGUUAAAGGCAUUCAGUUUUAAAAGGAAAACACAGCAUAAAAGCUUGGGAAGUUUGCAGCCUGACAAUGCAAUAGAAAAGAAAAUCGCAGGUGACAUUCAGGCCAGCUGCAGAAGUUUGCAUAAGUAAUGAGGGGCCAAAUGUUAAUCCCCAAGAAAAUGGGGAAAAUGUCUCCAGGGCAUGUCAGAGAUCUUCAUGGCAGCCC